CCGUAGGGAAACGUGGGUCUAAUACCGGAUAGGAGCCAUUUUUAGUGUGAUGGUUGGAAAGUUUUUUCGGUGUAGGAUGAGCUCGCGGCCUAUCAGCUUGUUGGUGGGGUAAUGGCCUACCAAGGCGGCGACGGGUAGCCGGCCUGAGAGGGUGGACGGCCACAUUGGGACUGAGAUACGGCCCAG
This 186-nucleotide ribosomal RNA is filed under the name uncultured Actinomycetales bacterium. RNAcentral's name for it is "partial 16S ribosomal RNA". It matches the Rfam family "Bacterial small subunit ribosomal RNA", at positions 146 to 334 of the family's 1533-position model. Lineage: Bacteria; Bacillati; Actinomycetota; Actinomycetes; Actinomycetales. The record is from RNAcentral.